AGUCAUGAAUCCCACCGUGGUAAGCGCCCUCCUUACGGUUAGGCUACCUACUUCUGGUGAAACCCACUCCCAUGGUGUGACGGGCGGUGUGUACAAGACCCGGGAACGUAUUCACCGCGACAUUCUGAUCCGCGAUUACUAGCGAUUCCGACUUCACGCAGUCGAGUUGCAGACUGCGAUCCGGACUACGAUCGGGUUUCUGAGAUUGGCUCCCCCUCGCGGGUUGGCGACCCUCUGUCCCGACCAUUGUAUGACGUGUGAAGCCCUACCCAUAAGGGCCAUGAGGACUUGACGUCAUCCCCACCUUCCUCCGGUUUGUCACCGGCAGUCUCAUUAGAGUGCUCUUGCGUAGCAACUAAUGACAAGGGUUGCGCUCGUUGCGGGACUUAACCCAACAUCUCACGACACGAGCUGACGACAGCCAUGCAGCACCUGUGUUCCGGUUCUCUUGCGAGCACUGCCAAAUCUCUUCGGCAUUCCAGACAUGUCAAGGGUAGGUAAGGGUUUUCGCGUUGCAUCGAAUUAAUCCACAUCAUCCACCGCUUGUGCGGGUGCCCGUCAAUUCCUUUGAGUUUUAAUCUUGCGACCGUACUCCCCAGGCGGUCAACUUCACGCGUUAGCUGCGCUACUAAAGCGUAACGGCCCCAACAGCUAGUUGACAUCGUUUAGGGCGUGNACUACCANGGUAUCUAAUCCUGUU
Molecule: ribosomal RNA, 700 nt
Filed under: Alcaligenes faecalis
Lineage: Bacteria; Pseudomonadati; Pseudomonadota; Betaproteobacteria; Burkholderiales; Alcaligenaceae
Description: partial 16S ribosomal RNA
Source: RNAcentral